RNAcentral lists this ribosomal RNA (293 nucleotides) under uncultured bacterium. Its description in RNAcentral is "partial 16S ribosomal RNA". It matches the Rfam family "Bacterial small subunit ribosomal RNA", at positions 28 to 334 of the family's 1533-position model. The record is from RNAcentral.
GAUUAACGCUGGCGGCAUGCCUAAUACAUGCAAAUCGAACGAAGCCUUUUGGAUUAGUGGCGAACGGGUGAGUAAUACGUGAGUAACCUGCCCUUGUCUUUGGGAUAAGCCUGGGAAACUGGGUCUAAUACCGGAUAUUCUGCUUUUGCCGCAUGGUGGGGUUGGAAAGAUUUUUUGGAUGGGGAUGGGCUCACGGCCUAUCAGCUUGUUGGUGGGUGAUGGCCUACCAAGGCGUCGACGGGUAGCCGGCCUGAGAGGGUGACCGGCCACAUUGGGACUGAGAUACGGCCCAG